This is a transfer RNA of Ovis aries (sheep), 72 nucleotides long. It matches the Rfam family "tRNA". Rfam says of the family: Transfer RNA (tRNA) molecules are approximately 80 nucleotides in length. Their secondary structure includes four short double-helical elements and three loops (D, anti-codon, and T loops). The record is from Rfam. Lineage: Eukaryota; Metazoa; Chordata; Mammalia; Artiodactyla; Bovidae.
UCCCUGGUGGCUCAGACGUUAAAGCAUCUGCCUCCAAUGCGGGAGACCCGGGUUCAAUCCCUGGGUCGGGAA